UGAUCUGCGAAAAAUGUCAAGUUUUUCCGUGGAACUGCUGAACUUCGGUUGUAGACCUCAGAACCAUUUCUUUUUCUGCAGGGCAGUGUAGAAAGAAGCAUCUGUUGCCUUUUUACCUACUUGUUCCUUUUUUGUAUUGUGUGAAAUUAUUAUGGCAUUUGGUAUUUAAAUGCUAACUCUUACUGAGGGAUCUAAUUUCUGUUGUCCACCUUAGGAACUAGUCACCUUAGCAUGUUUUUUGUGGAAUUUAUCUUACAGGAAAAGAGAGGGAGCUUUCCAUGUCUGCUGGACCAACCAUUUUGGUUGGUUCUAAAAUGUUACUCUCCUGCUCUAACGUUUAUUUUCAAACACAAAUCUGUCUCAUUUGUCUCUACUGUGAGGGUGGUGAGACACUGGAACAGGUUGCCCAGAGAAGUUGUGGAUCCCCCCUCUCUGAAAGUGCUCAAGGCCACGCUGAAUUGGGCUUUGAGCAACCUGGUCCAGUGGAAGGUGUCUCUGCCCAUUGCAGGGAGUUAGAAUUAGGUGAUCUUUAAGGUCCCUUCUAACCCAAACCAUUCUAUGGUUCAUUUGUUCUUUAAGUUAGUUGUAAAUCCCUUAUGUUCAUUAGAUAUCUGAACAGAAUGAAUAUGGCCUGAACGGGAGAUGAUACGAGUGAGAAACUUCAGCUUUAGUGUGGAAACAUACCCUAGUCUGUUGUGUUAUUUGGGGAUUACCAUAAUCUUCAUAUUAGACACAUGUUGCAAUUUCUCAGAUUUAUUAAAAUUAUUUUUAUUAAAAGGUUAAGCAAAACAAUGUUGGGAUGAAGCUGAGGUGACAGUGAAGACCAAAAUACAGUUUGAAGAGCUCAGUGUAAUAAGCAAUGUAACACUGGACGUAAAAAGACUUGCUUUGGUUGUCCUGCAGAUGUGCUGGAUUGGCCUCCCUAAUGACUUGCAGUGUGUCCCUCUGAAUAAGGAGACAUCUGAAAUUUUAUGUCUUUUGUUGAGAAUGACAUGAGACAUGAGAAAUGAGAAAAUUUUCAAGAGUGGGUGAGUUUGACUUUUGUAACAAUCAAUUCUCUUUCACUCUAUUCAGGCAUCAGCUCUGUGGCUUUGGGCUGAACAGUUAAAUCUUAAUGUUUGGAGGGGUGUGAUACCCUUCCCUCUCAGAAUGGCUUAUAAACAGCAACCAUUUUUUAAAUAAAGUAAGUAGUAGCCUUAGCAACACAUUGUUUCUGUGCAAACAUUCUUCUCAAAAUAAUUGCCCUCAAAAUCAUCAGCUCUUAAAAAGAGAAGAAAGCUGGAUCUUUUGACAACCAGAACCUGGAACACAUGUAGUCUACAGACUGCUCCCGUGUUGCUCUUGUGUUUGUAGAGUGGUAUUUCGACCAUUAGAUCUUCAUAAACAUGUAGCAAAACCUUCCACAAAUAAGGUAAUUUCUCCAAAUAACUGUAAAAACAUUUUAGCCUACCUGUCUCUUUAAUUUAGAGUAAGUUCUAGUAUUUGGAAGGCAUGUAUUUGAGAGGAUGUUUUGUUUUGUUAGGGUUGUUCCAGCAGGCAAUGCCUUUUUUUUUUUUGUUUGUAUGGUUUUUUUUAACUCAAAAAAGCAUGUUGGUGAGGUGCAAAAGUUAGUAUUUGAACCAUGGUUUUCCACCAGUAUCUUUUUUAAUCUGUCUUCAGAAUAUACUGAUUUGACUCUCAUCCAGAUUUACCUAACAUAUUACAAAGUUGGGACAGGGAAGUAGCUCAGGUUUUGAUUAGUUUUACAUAAGGUUUACCAAACCUGAAGACUUUUUUCAGAAAAUACUGAAGCAUUCUACCAGAGUUUACAUUCAUUAAUAUUUUUCCUGUUGUAAGCAGAGUUAGUAUCAACUACCUUUUGUCUACUUAUCUUCAAAGUUUGCUUCCCUCAUGGAUUUUACUUUUAAGAAUAGUAAUUGCCCUGGGAAUUAUUCUGAUGGUCUUGCACUAUAACUUUUAAUGGGUUCUUUUUGUGGGUGAAAAUUAGUUGUCUGCAUUUUUAUUGGAGGAGAUGGCCAUAGUUUAUAGGAAUGGAAAUGUGGAAAAGAAUUAUCAUGCUUUGCAAACAAUUAAAUUGUGUUGAAUACGAAUAUAAUAGGAAGGGAACAGAGACAAAUAGAAGUUGGGUAUCUAAAGCAUCUUUUUUCCCCAAAAAAUUUUAGUGUUUAUGUAUUAAAGUUUCAACAAAGUAAAGAGACACAAGAAUAUAAUUUAUCUAUCCUGCAUCUGAUGCUGUAUCCAAAAAUUUCUGUGCUCGUAAUAAGAAUUAUUUGUGAUUUAUUACAGUAUUCAGAAGCUGUCAAAAUGAAGGCAUUUAAGAAAUGUAAAUGUUGAGAUUUUUAUCUUUGAAACAUGAAAUUAAUGUUUUCUGAUUAAAGCAUAGAUAAACCAUUGUCCCCUUACUGGAUUGUAUUUCUUGUGUAGGAGAUAUGUUCGUGAGGCCCAAAAUAAGGGAUGGUUGAAAAGAAAGGCCCUUCAUAACAGAGUCUUGCUGGGAUUUUUCAGAAACUGUUCAAUUCAGCUGUUCAACUGUGCUUUUUGAGAGUAUUCUAUGCAGCACUUUGAGAACUGAUGUAUAUCACAGACAGGUGUCAAUGCACAUGCAGGUGGCUCUCAGCCGGAGCACAGUGUCCCAUCAUUUCUUUUCCUGGAUAAGUUUUCAUCUUUCCA
Long non-coding RNA from Myiozetetes cayanensis, 2670 nucleotides. RefSeq lists it as uncharacterized. The transcript has 3 exons. The record is from RefSeq and is a predicted model, not a curated record. NCBI's taxonomy places the organism in Eukaryota, Metazoa, Chordata, Aves, Passeriformes, Tyrannidae.